Molecule: transfer RNA, 72 nt
Filed under: Myotis brandtii (Brandt's bat)
Lineage: Eukaryota; Metazoa; Chordata; Mammalia; Chiroptera; Vespertilionidae
Rfam family: tRNA
About the family: Transfer RNA (tRNA) molecules are approximately 80 nucleotides in length. Their secondary structure includes four short double-helical elements and three loops (D, anti-codon, and T loops). Further hydrogen bonds mediate the characteristic L-shaped molecular structure. tRNAs have two regions of fundamental functional importance: the anti-codon, which is responsible for specific mRNA codon recognition, and the 3' end, to which the tRNAs corresponding amino acid is attached (by aminoacyl-tRNA synthetases). tRNAs cope with the degeneracy of the genetic code in two manners: having more than one tRNA (with a specific anti-codon) for a particular amino acid; and 'wobble' base-pairing, i.e. permitting non-standard base-pairing at the 3rd anti-codon position.
Source: Rfam by way of RNAcentral
GGCUGGGUAGCUAAGUUGGUUAGAGCAUUGUCCUGAUAUGCCAAGGUUCCGGGUUCAACUCCCGUCAGGGCA